CCUGUAUCUCUAUUCUCAACAACAGCAAAAAUACAUAAUGCCUAUCAUUCUGAACAGAACCCCCACAUUCGACCUAUCCCCAGAUGGCUUGGAUCUGAGCGCUCAAUAUAUCCAAACAGCGCUCAGAUGCCACAAACACAGUCAAAUCACCAAGGGGUUUAGGUUUAGCAUGGGCUGAUGAGAGGGGCUAUAGUCAUGAGGAAGGAGGCUGGCAAUAAGGCUUCUCCACAAGCCAAGGACACGGCAAUUUGUCACAUAAAAUCCCAGUUACAAACGGCAGUUUGUAACACCCACCAUUUAUGCAAUCCCUAUUCUUAAG
Pelobates cultripes (western spadefoot toad) is the source of this 319-nucleotide non-coding RNA. The record is from the annotation of a GenBank genome assembly. NCBI's taxonomy places the organism in Eukaryota, Metazoa, Chordata, Amphibia, Anura, Pelobatidae.